RNAcentral lists this transfer RNA (66 nucleotides) under Procavia capensis (Cape rock hyrax). Its description in RNAcentral is "transfer RNA-Cys". It matches the Rfam family "tRNA". Rfam says of the family: Transfer RNA (tRNA) molecules are approximately 80 nucleotides in length. Their secondary structure includes four short double-helical elements and three loops (D, anti-codon, and T loops). Further hydrogen bonds mediate the characteristic L-shaped molecular structure. tRNAs have two regions of fundamental functional importance: the anti-codon, which is responsible for specific mRNA codon recognition, and the 3' end, to which the tRNAs corresponding amino acid is attached (by aminoacyl-tRNA synthetases). tRNAs cope with the degeneracy of the genetic code in two manners: having more than one tRNA (with a specific anti-codon) for a particular amino acid; and 'wobble' base-pairing, i.e. permitting non-standard base-pairing at the 3rd anti-codon position. Lineage: Eukaryota; Metazoa; Chordata; Mammalia; Hyracoidea; Procaviidae. The record is from RNAcentral.
GGUCCUGUGGUGGAUACCAUGUCGAAUUGCAAAUUCGAAGAAGCAGCUUCAAUUCUGCCGGGACUU